RNAcentral lists this ribosomal RNA (595 nucleotides) under Fusarium sp. NRRL 52774. RNAcentral describes it as "eukaryotic LSU rRNA". It matches the Rfam family "Eukaryotic large subunit ribosomal RNA", at positions 1 to 594 of the family's 3401-position model. Lineage: Eukaryota; Fungi; Ascomycota; Sordariomycetes; Hypocreales; Nectriaceae. The record is from RNAcentral.
AACUUCUGAAUGUUGACCUCGGAUCAGGUAGGAAUACCCGCUGAACUUAAGCAUAUCAAUAAGCGGAGGAAAAGAAACCAACAGGGAUUGCCCUAGUAACGGCGAGUGAAGCGGCAACAGCUCAAAUUUGAAAUCUGGCUCUCGGGCCCGAGUUGUAAUUUGUAGAGGAUGCUUUUGAUGCGGUGCCUUCCGAGUUCCCUGGAACGGGACGCCAUAGAGGGUGAGAGCCCCGUCUGGUUGGAUGCCAAAUCUCUGUAAAGCUCCUUCGACGAGUCGAGUAGUUUGGGAAUGCUGCUCUAAAUGGGAGGUAUAUGUCUUCUAAAGCUAAAUACCGGCCAGAGACCGAUAGCGCACAAGUAGAGUGAUCGAAAGAUGAAAAGCACUUUGAAAAGAGAGUUAAAAAGUACGUGAAAUUGUUGAAAGGGAAGCGUUUAUGACCAGACUUGGGCUUGGAUAAUCAUCUGGGGUUCUCUCCAGUGCACUUUUCCAGUCCAGGCCAGCAUCAGUUUUCGCCGGGGGAUAAAGGCUUCGGGAAUGUGGCUCUCUCCGGGGAGUGUUAUAGCCCGUUGCGUAAUACCCUGGCGGGGACUGAGGU